RNAcentral lists this ribosomal RNA (865 nucleotides) under Clostridium perfringens NCTC 8239. RNAcentral describes it as "bacterial SSU rRNA". It matches the Rfam family "Bacterial small subunit ribosomal RNA", at positions 651 to 1520 of the family's 1533-position model. Lineage: Bacteria; Bacillati; Bacillota; Clostridia; Eubacteriales; Clostridiaceae. The record is from RNAcentral.
GGAGAGGAGAGUGGAAUUCCUAGUGUAGCGGUGAAAUGCGUAGAGAUUAGGAAGAACACCAGUGGCGAAGGCGACUCUCUGGACUGUAACUGACGCUGAGGCUCGAAAGCGUGGGGAGCAAACAGGAUUAGAUACCCUGGUAGUCCACGCGUAAACGAUGAAUACUAGGUGUGGGGGUUUCAACACCUCCGUGCCGCCGCUAACGCAUUAAGUAUUCCGCCUGGGGAGUACGGUCGCAAGAUUAAAACUCAAAGGAAUUGACGGGGACCCGCACAAGUAGCGGAGCAUGUGGUUUAAUUCGAAGCAACGCGAAGAACCUUACCUACACUUGACAUCCCUUGCAUUACUCUUAAUCGAGGAAAUCCCUUCGGGGACAAGGUGACAGGUGGUGCAUGGUUGUCGUCAGCUCGUGUCGUGAGAUGUUGGGUUAAGUCCCGCAACGAGCGCAACCCUUGUCGUUAGUUACUACCAUUAAGUUGAGGACUCUAGCGAGACUGCCUGGGUUAACCAGGAGGAAGGUGGGGAUGACGUCAAAUCAUCAUGCCCCUUAUGUGUAGGGCUACACACGUGCUACAAUGGCUGGUACAGAGAGAUGCAAUACCGCGAGGUGGAGCCAAACUUAAAAACCAGUCUCAGUUCGGAUUGUAGGCUGAAACUCGCCUACAUGAAGCUGGAGUUACUAGUAAUCGCGAAUCAGAAUGUCGCGGUGAAUACGUUCCCGGGUCUUGUACACACCGCCCGUCACACCAUGAGAGUUGGCAAUACCCGAAGUCCGUGAGCUAACCGCAAGGAGGCAGCGGCCGAAGGUAGGGUCAGCGAUUGGGGUGAAGUCGUAACAAGGUAGCCGUAGGAGAACCUGCGGCUG